Molecule: ribosomal RNA, 205 nt
Filed under: uncultured bacterium
Lineage: Bacteria
Description: partial 16S ribosomal RNA
Rfam family: Bacterial small subunit ribosomal RNA
Source: RNAcentral
CGUAGGUGGUCAAUUAAGUCAGAUGUGAAAGCCCCGGGCUCAACCUGGGAUGGUCAUUUGAAACUGGUUGACUAGAGUUUUGUAGAGGGUGGUAGAAUUUCAGGUGUAGCGGUGAAAUGCGUAGAGAUCUGAAGGAAUACCAGUGGCGAAGGCGGCCACCUGGACAGAGACUGACACUGAGGCGCGAAGGCGUGGGGAGCAAGCG